UUUCCGUAGGUGAACCUGCGGAAGGAUCAUUACCGAGUGCGGGCUGCCUCCGGGCGCCCAACCUCCCACCCGUGACUACCUAACACUGUUGCUUCGGCGGGGAGCCCCCCAGGGGCGAGCCGCCGGGGACCACUGAACUUCAUGCCUGAGAGUGAUGCAGUCUGAGCCUGAAUACAAAUCAGUCAAAACUUUCAACAAUGGAUCUCUUGGUUCCG
This 215-nucleotide unclassified non-coding RNA is filed under the name soil metagenome. RNAcentral's name for it is "partial contains small subunit ribosomal RNA, internal transcribed spacer 1, and 5.8S ribosomal RNA". The record is from RNAcentral.